UUCAUUGUUCGUUCAAUGGUU
Molecule: non-coding RNA, 21 nt
Filed under: Caenorhabditis elegans
Lineage: Eukaryota; Metazoa; Nematoda; Chromadorea; Rhabditida; Rhabditidae
Source: RNAcentral